Trichonephila inaurata madagascariensis is the source of this 74-nucleotide non-coding RNA. The record is from the annotation of a GenBank genome assembly. NCBI's taxonomy places the organism in Eukaryota, Metazoa, Arthropoda, Arachnida, Araneae, Nephilidae.
GGCGCCGUGGCUCAGUUGGUUAAAGCGCCUUUUUAGUAAACAGGAGAUCACGAGUUCUAAACUCGUCGGUACCU